This 734-nucleotide small RNA is filed under the name Malus domestica (apple). RNAcentral describes it as "sRNA MD15G0059400". The record is from RNAcentral. Lineage: Eukaryota; Viridiplantae; Streptophyta; Magnoliopsida; Rosales; Rosaceae.
AUGUGGAUUAAAAAAUUAAUUAGAAAUUCAACUAAAAAUUUGAAAAGAUAAUUGAAUAAUUAAAAAAUAGAAAAAUGUUUCAAACACCCAAAAAUUCAUCUCGUCAUGUUCUUCCAUCUCCACUUGGUCCACUCAAGGACCAGAAGUCCCAGUAGAAGCUCAACCUCAAAUUCAACGAAGCCACACUGAGAUCUAAGCCUCUGAUGGAAGGCAGAGGUCGUUCAGAAGUCAUCGAAGGUGAGCUCGACGAAGCCGCAUUAAACCUAAAGCCGAAACCCCCAAAACCCAGAUUUCGCUGCCCUUCAAUUUCGUUAUAAGCGACCAGUCGAAUACCAAAAUCCCCAAACUCCCCUUCGAUUUCGUUGCUGGAUGCGUCUUGCAGUUUCGAUCGAUGCCAAUUUGAGGUUAGAGUGAAAGAAUGAGGAAGAGAAAGAAAUGGAUGAGGUUGUUAGGAUCAAGUGGGAGGGCAGCAAUGGUGUUUGUAAGGGAGGGGAAAUAGGUUCCACCUUUUUUUUUAUGGGUUGCAGAUGGGGGGAAGAAAUGGGUAGCAGGUGAGGACACGACUUGGAAGAAGAAAUCAAGGCAAGGUUUUGAGGUGGUGAGGAAGGUGGGGCAAAAUUCAUAGUGAGGCCUUGGGGUUUUCUGGGUUGCUUCAGGCUUUGCAGAUGAGGAAAUUGAUGGUGGUGGUUAUGGAGGAAGAAGCUUUGUUGGUGCAGAAGUGAUGGGGGAUGGGG